AGCAGCCGCGGUAAUUCCAGCUCCAAUAGCGUAUAUUAAAGUUGUUGCAGUUAAAAAGCUCGUAGUUGAAUUUCGGGGUUCUACCGUUGGUCGGGCUUUGUCUGUACUGGCGUGUAGAAUUUCUACCUUCUGGGGAACCAUCAUGUUAUUAAUUUAACGUGGUGGGAAACCAGGACCUUUACCUUGAAAAAAUUAGAGUGUUCAAAGCAGGCUUAUGUCUGAAUACAUUAGCAUGGAAUAAUAAAAUAGGACGGUGGUCCUGUUUUGUUGGUUUCUGAAUCACCGUAAUGAUUAAUAGGGAUAGUUGGGGGCAUUAGUAUUCAAUAGUCAGAGGUGAAAUUCUUGGAUUUAU
Molecule: ribosomal RNA, 352 nt
Filed under: uncultured Racocetra
Lineage: Eukaryota; Fungi; Glomeromycota; Glomeromycetes; Diversisporales; Gigasporaceae
Description: SSU rRNA
Rfam family: Eukaryotic small subunit ribosomal RNA
Source: RNAcentral